GCCUUCGCGGUGUAGUGGUCAGCACGCUCGACGCGUAACCGAGAGGUCCGUGGUUCGAUUCCCGGCGAAAGCG
Molecule: transfer RNA, 73 nt
Filed under: Stegodyphus mimosarum
Lineage: Eukaryota; Metazoa; Arthropoda; Arachnida; Araneae; Eresidae
Rfam family: tRNA
About the family: Transfer RNA (tRNA) molecules are approximately 80 nucleotides in length.
Source: Rfam by way of RNAcentral